Long non-coding RNA from Salvia splendens (bonfire salvia), 763 nucleotides. RefSeq lists it as uncharacterized. The transcript is spliced from 6 exons. NCBI's taxonomy places the organism in Eukaryota, Viridiplantae, Streptophyta, Magnoliopsida, Lamiales, Lamiaceae. The record is from RefSeq and is a predicted model, not a curated record.
GUUUAACAAAAAAUGGCAUGUUAUGUUCCUUUUAACAACAGGAAUUUGGACAUAAACUUCUUCAUAUUUAGACCAACAAUUGUUUGCGUAGAUUCUCUUAUUCAUGCUCUGAAGCAGUUUUCUUCAUACACUGAUGGCCUUGGCUUUGUUCAUACUUCAUAGUUCUAUAUUUACUAGUAUUCAUGGGAGCAUGAAUGUAUGGUGAGGGGCUUGGAUGAAGAGGAGUGAUGAGAACAAGCAACUCCUAAUUGCAGCCCUUAUUAAGGCCGAACCAUUGCUCGUAUUUGAUUGAAAUCCACUUUUUUUGCUGGACCGGGCUUGCAGAUUAAGGCCGAAUUUGAUUGAAAUCCACUUUUUUUGGUGGACCGGGCUUGUAGAUUAAGGCCAAAAGUCUCCCAGCGGGUGAUGUUCCCAUUGUCAUUUCCAUUGCUCGUAUUUGAACCAUUGCUCGUAUUUGAUUGAAAUCCAUUUUUUUUGCUAGACCGGGCUUGCAGAUUAAGGCCGAAAGUCUCCUAGCGGAUUAAGGCCGGAAGUCUGCUCGUAUUUGAUUGAAAUCCUCUUUUUUUGCUGGACCGGGCUUGCAGAUUAAGGCCGAAAGUCUCCCAGCGGGCUUGCAGAUUAAGGUCGAAAGUCUCCCAGCGGAUUAAGGCCGAAAGUCUCGCAGCGGGUGAUGUUCUCACUGUCAUUUCCAUUGCUCGGUUCUCACUGUCAUUUCCAUUGCUCGUAUUUGAUUGAAAUCCAAUCAUGCUCGUAUAUUCACAUA